Non-coding RNA from Oryctolagus cuniculus (rabbit), 429 nucleotides. The record is from RefSeq and is a predicted model, not a curated record. Lineage: Eukaryota; Metazoa; Chordata; Mammalia; Lagomorpha; Leporidae.
AGUCACUGGGUACAUGCUCCCCAUGUAGGAUCUCUGUCCUUAAUGUGCUUUACUAUGAAACUUAAAAACAACACUACUAGUCGAACAAUACCCUAUACCUUGUGCGGUUGUGUGAGUGCAGCCUGUUGAAAUCCUUGCUUAGUAUAUACUAAGUUGAUCUUCAGUAUAUGAAGACCUUGUAACAUCAAGUACUGAAUUUAACAAUCUUUUAGCACCAAGGAGUCAAGAAUAUUGCACCAAGAUGGAUUUAUACUUCAUGAUGAGUUAAUAAAUAAGAUCUUGCAACUUAGUCACAAGGGAAAUAUCACUCCAAAAUUAAACAUAUUGAAAGAGAAGCAUAGUUUCAUGGAAAUGUUUGGUGUAUGCUAUUUGUAAAAAAUCAAAAAAAAAAAAAACAGUGGAUUUGAAAGUUGCUAUUAAAAUUUACAU